This 482-nucleotide ribosomal RNA is filed under the name uncultured bacterium. Its description in RNAcentral is "partial 16S ribosomal RNA". It matches the Rfam family "Bacterial small subunit ribosomal RNA", at positions 30 to 507 of the family's 1533-position model. The record is from RNAcentral.
AUUGAACGCUGGCGGCAUGCUUUACACAUGCAAGUCGAACGGUAACAGGCCGCAAGGUGCUGACGAGUGGCGAACGGGUGAGUAAUGCAUCGGAACGUGCCCAGUCGUGGGGGAUAACUACUCGAAAGAGUAGCUAAUACCGCAUACGAUCUAUGGAUUAAAACGGGGGACCGUAAGGCCUCGCGCGAUUUGAGCGGCCGAUGUCAGAUUAGGUAGUUGGUGGGGUAAAGGCUCACCAAGCCAACGAUCUGUAGCUGGUCUGAGAGGACGACCAGCCACACUGGAACUGAGACACGGCCCAGACUCCUACGGGAGGCAGCAGUGGGGAAUUUUGCACAAUGGGCGCAAGCCUGAUCCAGCAAUGCCGCGUGCAGGAAGAAGGCCUUCGGGUUGUAAACUGCUUUUGUACGGAAAGAAACGGCUCUGGUUAAUACCCGGGGCUAAUGACGGUACCGUAAGAAUAAGCACCGGCUAACUACGUG